CAGCGUCAUUGAUUGGAAGAACGCGGCACGAGACCUGAUUAGCCUGCAAAGGCUAGCAUAGGCUACUAAACUUUUCGGACUAUAGAGGUUGGAAGGGGAAUUGUCCAUUAAAUAGCCGACUGUCGCACGUGCGCUCGCCGUUUAUCAACACUGGCUUUGGAAUGAACGAUGUCCACAGACAAGGAGGAACAUCCGAGGGAAAGUUGAGACGAUGAAACGUGAACUUAAGACGAAAGAGCAGCAUCUGAUCAGGCACAUGUGAUUUUCCUCUGGUCGUCCGAGCGCAGGAGGAGAGUCUGAGAAAGGAGAGCGUGGGGAAAUGCGCAGAUCUGAAUGGGAGGCGAUGACGUCUGUAGACCGACUGCAUCAGAGAAUAGAAUCAGCAUCACCAUCAUCAUCAUCCGUUGCCAUGGCAACAUACUGACAUGGGCUCUGACGCAGAGCAGGUGAAUGAAGCGGGGGUGAAGAUGUGCAGAGCAUGAGUGGGUGGAAGAAGAAGAACAGAUGGAUUUUUACCAGCAAUGGAGGAGGAAACAUAAGAGAUAGUUAUGCACACUGAAAGCCAUUAUUGUUUAGUCAAAAACAAUGUUUGACUUUAUAUGCAUACAAUAAGGGUGUAUAGCAAUAUAUUGUGUCACAAUAUUUAUUGAGGAUAGUUCAAGAUAGUUCAGAGUUUUAGUGUCAGUACUACAUUAAACUACUAUAUAUAUAAUGUGUUAUAAUGCACUGGGGGAAUAUUUGUGUAAAAAGCGGCCUAUGUUAUUUCUAAUAUAUCGAGUCAGUGGCGGAGUGCAAUCAUUUAUGUCUAAAAUAAUUCUGUAUUUUUAGCUUCAGAAUCAUGAAUACUGUCUCUUGUCCUGUGCAUUUGGUUUCGCCACACAGUCCAAGUCUAUUCAUUUACACACACAAUAUAAUAUCAAAUUUAGCAUUUUAAUCAACACAACAUUUUUUUCUUAACC
Pimephales promelas (fathead minnow) is the source of this 959-nucleotide non-coding RNA. The record is from RefSeq and is a predicted model, not a curated record. NCBI's taxonomy places the organism in Eukaryota, Metazoa, Chordata, Actinopteri, Cypriniformes, Leuciscidae.